Long non-coding RNA from Oncorhynchus keta (chum salmon), 1091 nucleotides. RefSeq lists it as uncharacterized. NCBI's taxonomy places the organism in Eukaryota, Metazoa, Chordata, Actinopteri, Salmoniformes, Salmonidae. The transcript is spliced from 9 exons. The record is from RefSeq and is a predicted model, not a curated record.
AGUAAAAUGUUAUUAUACAUGAGAAGAAAAAAAAGAAGGAUAAAAACUAAAAAAAAAAAUAAUAAUAACCAAAAACUUUUAAAAAAUAACCCAAAAACAAACUGUCCACUGACCAAACAUGGAGACCUGUGUUGAAGAGCUUCACAAGGUCCAACAUGGAGGCCUGUGUUGAAGAGCUUCACAAGGUCCAACAUGGAGACCUGUGUUGAAGAGCUUCACAAGGUCCAACAUGGAGACCUGUGUUGAAGAGCUUAACAAGGUCCAACAUGGAGACCUGUGUUGAAGAGCUUCUCAAGGUCCAACAUGGAGACCUGUGUUGAAGAGCUUCACAAGGUCCAACAUGGAGACCUGUGUUGAAGAGCUUCACAAGGUCCAACAUGGAGACCUGUGUUGAAGAGCUUCACAAGGUCCAACAUGGAGGCCUGUGUUGAAGAGCUUCACAAGGUCCAACAUGGAGGCCUGUGUUGAAGAGCUUCACAAGGUCCAACAUGGAGACCUGUGUUGAAGAGCUUCACAAGGUCCAACAUGGAGACCUGUGUUGAAGAGCUUCACAAGGUCCAACAUGGAGACCUGAGUUGAAGAGCUUCACAAGGUCCAACAUGGAGACCUGUGUUGAAGAGCUUCACAAGGUCCAACAUGGAGACCUGUGUUGAAGAGCUUCACAAGGUCCAACAUGGAGACCUGUGUUGAAGAGCUUCACAAGGUCCAACAUGGAGGCCUGUGUUGAAGAGCUUCACAAGGUCCAACAUGGAGACCUGUGUUGAAGAGCUUCACAAGGUCCAACAUGGAGACCUGUGUUGAAGAGCUUCACAAGGUCCAACAUGGAGGCCUGUGUUGAAGAGCUUCACAAGGUCCAACAUGGAGACCUGUGUUGAAGAGCUUCACAAGGUCCAACAUGGAGGCCUGUGUUGAAGAGCUUCACAAGGUCCAACAUGGAGACCUGUGUUGAAGAGCUUCUCAAGGUCCAACAUGGAGACCUGUGUUGAAGAGCUUCACAAGGUCCAACAUGGAGACCUGUGUUGAAGAGCUUCACAAGGUCCAACAUGGAGACCUGUGUUGAAGAGCUUCACAAGGUCCAACAUGGAGGCCUG